GAUGAACGCUGGCGGCGUGCCUAAUACAUGCAAGUCGAGCGAACAGACGAGGAGCUUGCUCCUCUGACGUUAGCGGCGGACGGGUGAGUAACACGUGGAUAACCUACCUAUAAGACUGGGAUAACUUCGGGAAACCGGAGCUAAUACCGGAUAAUAUAUUGAACCGCAUGGUUCAAUAGUGAAAGACGGUUUUGCUGUCACUUAUAGAUGGAUCCGCGCCGCAUUAGCUAGUUGGUAAGGUAACGGCUUACCAAGGCAACGAUGCGUAGCCGACCUGAGAGGGUGAUCGGCCACACUGGAGCGGAGACACGGUCCAGACUCCUAAGGGAGGCAGCAGUAGGGAAUCUUCCGCAAUGGGCGAAAGCCUGACGGAGCAACGCCGCGUGAGUGAUGAAGGUCUUCGGAUCGUAAAACUCUGUUAUUAGGGAAGAACAAAUGUGUAAGUAACUAUGCACGUCUUGACGGUACCUAAUCAGAAAGCCACGGCUAACUACGUG
RNAcentral lists this ribosomal RNA (497 nucleotides) under uncultured bacterium. Its description in RNAcentral is "partial 16S ribosomal RNA". It matches the Rfam family "Bacterial small subunit ribosomal RNA", at positions 28 to 507 of the family's 1533-position model. The record is from RNAcentral.